RNAcentral lists this transfer RNA (85 nucleotides) under Felis catus (domestic cat). It matches the Rfam family "tRNA". Rfam says of the family: Transfer RNA (tRNA) molecules are approximately 80 nucleotides in length. Their secondary structure includes four short double-helical elements and three loops (D, anti-codon, and T loops). Further hydrogen bonds mediate the characteristic L-shaped molecular structure. tRNAs have two regions of fundamental functional importance: the anti-codon, which is responsible for specific mRNA codon recognition, and the 3' end, to which the tRNAs corresponding amino acid is attached (by aminoacyl-tRNA synthetases). tRNAs cope with the degeneracy of the genetic code in two manners: having more than one tRNA (with a specific anti-codon) for a particular amino acid; and 'wobble' base-pairing, i.e. permitting non-standard base-pairing at the 3rd anti-codon position. The record is from Rfam by way of RNAcentral. Lineage: Eukaryota; Metazoa; Chordata; Mammalia; Carnivora; Felidae.
GCCUGGGUGGCUCAGUCGGUUGAGCGUCUGACUUCAGCUCAGGUCAUGAUCUCGUGGUUUGUGGGUUCGAGCCCUGCAUCAGGCU